GGCGCGGUAGCCAAGCGGUAAGGCUCCGGUCUGCAACACCGUCAUCACCGGUUCGAAUCCGGUCCGUGCCU
Molecule: non-coding RNA, 71 nt
Organism: Roseburia intestinalis XB6B4
Lineage: Bacteria; Bacillati; Bacillota; Clostridia; Lachnospirales; Lachnospiraceae
Source: Rfam